ACGAACGCUGGCGGCGUGCUUAACACAUGCAAGUCGAACGGAAAGGCCCUGCUUUUGUGGGGUGCUCGAGUGGCGAACGGGUGAGUAACACGUGAGUAACCUGCCCUUGACUUUGGGAUAACUUCAGGAAACUGGGGCUAAUACCGGAUAGGAGCUCCUGCUGCAUGGUGGGGGUUGGAAAGUUUCGGCGGUUGGGGAUGGACUCGCGGCUUAUCAGCUUGUUGGUGGGGUAGUGGCUUACCAAGGCUUUGACGGGUAGCCGGCCUGAGAGGGUGACCGGCCACAUUGGGACUGAGAUACCGCCCAGACUCCUACGGGAGGCAGCAGUGGGGAAUAUUGCACAAUGGGCGGAAGCCUGAUGCAGCAACGCCGCGUGCGGGAUGACGGCCUUCGGGUUGUAAACCGCUUUCGCCUGUGACGAAGCGUGAGUGACGGUAAUGGGUAAAGAAGCACCGGCUAACUACGUG
RNAcentral lists this ribosomal RNA (467 nucleotides) under uncultured bacterium. RNAcentral's name for it is "partial 16S ribosomal RNA". It matches the Rfam family "Bacterial small subunit ribosomal RNA", at positions 29 to 507 of the family's 1533-position model. The record is from RNAcentral.